Molecule: transfer RNA, 73 nt
Filed under: Sphaerodactylus townsendi
Lineage: Eukaryota; Metazoa; Chordata; Lepidosauria; Squamata; Sphaerodactylidae
Description: tRNA-Ala
Source: RNAcentral
UGAGGGCACAGCUCAAUGGUAAAGUCCCUGCUUCGCAUACAGAAGGUCCCAGGUUCAAUCCCUGGCAUCUCAA